AGAGUUUGAUCCUGGCUCAGGACGAACGCUGGCGGCGUGCUUAACACAUGCAAGUCGAACGAGGAUUACGUUGGAAGGGUUUCGGCCUGGAAGGCGUAAUUCGAGUGGCGGACGGGUGAGUAACGCGUGAACAAUCUGUCCCGGACAGGGGAAUAACACUUGGAAACAGGUGCUAAUACCGCAUAAGACCACGCCCUCGCAUGGGGGAGGGGUAAAAGGAGGAAUCCGGUUCGGGGUGAGUUCGCGUCCGAUUAGAUAGUUGGUGAGGUAACGGCCCACCAAGUCGACGAUCGGUAGCCGACCUGAGAGGGUGAUCGGCCACAUUGGAACUGAGAGACGGUCCAAACUCCUACGGGAGGCAGCAGUGGGGAAUAUUGGGCAAUGGGCGAAAGCCUGACCCAGCAACGCCGCGUGAGUGAAGAAGGCUUUCGGGUUGUAAAGCUCUGUUAUAGGGGACGAAGGAAGUGACGGUACCCUAUAAGGAAGCCCCGGCUAACUACGUGCCAGCAGCUGC
Molecule: ribosomal RNA, 514 nt
Filed under: uncultured bacterium
Lineage: Bacteria
Description: bacterial SSU rRNA
Rfam family: Bacterial small subunit ribosomal RNA
Source: RNAcentral